AGAAAACAGUGUUUUUAUUAAAUUUUUGAUUUUAGAAUGCGAUAUUUAAUUUGCUCAUUGAUAUGUUAUGCAUCUAUUAAUUUUUCUUUGGAAACUACCAAACUGAAAUUGUGUGCAGUGGUAUCUCUCCCCAAUUUGGCUUGCUCAUCACACUUAUAUACUCUAGAACGCUACUUUCUGCAGUUAAUUAAGAUUUUCCAAUAAGUGAAAGAGAAUUAAAGAUCAAUUUGGCCAUUCUGAACAACUGAUGUCUACAUGGGUGGCGUUUUCCUGGAGUUUGUUCUUGAUUUGCAGUUUUCGCCUCCACCUUGCAACAUUAUGCAGUUAAUUCUCAAAGGAUGAGAGAGCAACUAGAGAUGUAUUUGAACUCUAUCAAAAAGAUAAAUUUGCUGCUAUAGAUUCCUCUUGGAUUUCAUUUGCUUUCCACAACUGCAAACUUUGGAACGUUACAAUUUACAGUUAAUUAAGAUCGACGAGGGAGAAGACAAAGAAGAUCCCGUAGUUAAAAUACUUCUAUAUCUUGCAUGUUCUAUUAGACACAAUUAAAUUAAUUUUUUAUUUUGCAUGGUUUUUGUAGUUUAUUUUAUUUGAAGUAAUUGUUGAUUGUAGACGUU
Molecule: long non-coding RNA, 614 nt
Organism: Agrilus planipennis (emerald ash borer)
Lineage: Eukaryota; Metazoa; Arthropoda; Insecta; Coleoptera; Buprestidae
Exons: 3
Source: RefSeq, a predicted model, not a curated record